This 21-nucleotide small nuclear RNA is filed under the name Arabidopsis thaliana (thale cress). RNAcentral describes it as "snRNA_16912". The record is from RNAcentral. Lineage: Eukaryota; Viridiplantae; Streptophyta; Magnoliopsida; Brassicales; Brassicaceae.
UGUUCACCCACCAAUAGGGAA